GCGGACGCGGUGGCCAGAGGGGGUGGAAGAGGGUGGGGGCACGGGUUGUCGGGAAAAACUGGGGGGAAAGGGGCGGUAGGCGGGUUGAGAAGUCAAUGGUGAAAUCCCGUUGCGCAACGGCCGGGCCGUAGGUGAGAAUGUCUGGCUGGAGCGUGGGAGGGGCGAGUGGAAUUCCCGGGGGAGCGGGGGAAUGCGUAGAGGUCGGGAAGAACACCGGUGGCGAAGGCGGCUCGCUGGGCCAAUGCUGACGCUGAUGCGCGAAAGCGUGGGGAGCAAACAGGAUUAGAUACCCUUGUAGUC
RNAcentral lists this ribosomal RNA (300 nucleotides) under uncultured Thermococcus sp. RNAcentral's name for it is "partial 16S ribosomal RNA". The stretch from base 52 to 300 matches the Rfam family "Bacterial small subunit ribosomal RNA", at positions 547 to 795 of the family's 1533-position model. The record is from RNAcentral. Lineage: Archaea; Methanobacteriati; Methanobacteriota; Thermococci; Thermococcales; Thermococcaceae.